Molecule: ribosomal RNA, 116 nt
Filed under: Pteropus alecto (black flying fox)
Lineage: Eukaryota; Metazoa; Chordata; Mammalia; Chiroptera; Pteropodidae
Source: RNAcentral
GUCUAUGGCCAUGCCACUCUGAACAAACUUGAUAUCUGAUCUUGGAAGCUAUGCAGGGUCGAGUCUGCUUAGUACUUGGACGGGAGACCACCUAGGACGACCAGGUGCUGUAGGCA